CCCCCCUUGAUUCCUUCCCCAGCAGAUCUAAACAUCGGUCUGAGUGGCUAUAAAAGGAGGCAAAGCAAAACUGAAAUGAGUUUGGAUUCUUUCAUAACAUACAAGUUGGUUUCAAACAAAC
Molecule: small nucleolar RNA, 121 nt
Filed under: Echinops telfairi (small Madagascar hedgehog)
Lineage: Eukaryota; Metazoa; Chordata; Mammalia; Afrosoricida; Tenrecidae
Description: Small nucleolar RNA SNORA61 (ENSETEG00000024212.1)
Source: RNAcentral